GAGGAGCGUCUCGCUGCAGCCUGCGGUGGACAUCCAACCCGGCCCACAUCCAAGUGUGAUGUCACAGACCACGCCCAUAUCAAAAUACGUCACAUUCUCAUUCAUUUUGAAACAGGAAGAAGCAUCGAUAAGAAGAUAAUUUGUAUUGUUUCCCAACCGCUAAAAAAGAAGCUGUUGUUUGCCGUGUCGCAUUCUACACAUUUUCAGUCCAAGCCUGAUGCAGGGCAGUUCUCCCGGGUUAAGGGGUCCCUGCUGCAGUUUCACCAGUAAAGAAAAUUACUUGUUACAAUUCACUCGAAGGACCACAUAAGCCAUGCAGUGGUGCAUGGAGGAGCACCAAGAGGACAUAAAGUGGAAGUUUGUAAGGGGUAUUGGUCCAGCGUGGUACAGAGUCAUCGUGGGUUAUUCUGUGGGGAGGUGACAGGGCCUGCCGUUCUCCAGAUGGACAGUAAAAAUCAACAGAAUGCCAUCAAAGACUACCUGGAGGGAGAAUCAGAGGAUAUAUUAAAGCAAGGAAUCUCUCUGUGUAGUCUAUGUAUGUAUGUGUGUGUACUGCAUGUCAAGAACUGUUUAUCUGAUCAUUCAGCUGCUCAGACUUUAUAAUAUUUGGAGCAUAUUUUUUGUUAAACACAACCAGUCAAAAGUUUUUGAACAGUGAGAUUUUUUAAUGUUUUUAAAGAAAUAUAAUUUAUUAAUCAUGCAUAUAUUUAAUCCGAAGUACAGCAAAAACAGUCCAAUUUUAAAAUAUUUGUAUAAUAUUUUGCUUUUGUAAUAUAUUUUGCUAUUUAAAAUAACAAUUUUAUAAAAU
Long non-coding RNA from Cyprinus carpio carpio, 808 nucleotides. The record is from Ensembl. NCBI's taxonomy places the organism in Eukaryota, Metazoa, Chordata, Actinopteri, Cypriniformes, Cyprinidae.